This 467-nucleotide ribosomal RNA is filed under the name uncultured bacterium. Its description in RNAcentral is "partial 16S ribosomal RNA". It matches the Rfam family "Bacterial small subunit ribosomal RNA", at positions 28 to 507 of the family's 1533-position model. The record is from RNAcentral.
GAUGAACGCUGGCGGCGUGCUUAACACAUGCAAGUCGAACGGAAAGGCUCCUGCUUGCAGGGGUACUCGAGUGGCGAACGGGUGAGUAACACGUGGGUGAUCUGCCCUGCACUUCGGGAUAAGCCUGGGAAACUGGGUCUAAUACCGGAUAGGACCACAUUUUGGAUGGUGUGGUGGAAAGUUUUUCGGUGUGGGAUGAGCUCGCGGCCUAUCAGCUUGUUGGUGGGGUAAUGGCCUACCAAGGCGUCGACGGGUAGCCGGCCUGAGAGGGUGUACGGCCACAUUGGAACUGAGAUACGGCCCAGACUCCUACGGGAGGCAGCAGUGGGGAAUAUUGCACAAUGGGCGCAAGCCUGAUGCAGCGACGCCGCGUGGGGGAUGACGGCCUUCGGGUUGUAAACUCCUUUCGCUAGGGACGAAGCGUUUUUGUGACGGUACCUGGAGAAGAAGCACCGGCUAACUACGUG